Homo sapiens (human) is the source of this 481-nucleotide long non-coding RNA. RefSeq annotates it as ANKRD31 divergent transcript. Lineage: Eukaryota; Metazoa; Chordata; Mammalia; Primates; Hominidae. The record is from RefSeq and is a predicted model, not a curated record. The transcript has 2 exons.
GCUGCGUGUUUUUUUCACGGUUUCUCAUUCUCGGUCGCUAGGCUUUGAGGGUGCUGGGGUUGCUGCUGCAGAGACCAGAAAGGCAGGCGUGGCGCACCCAGAACUCAGACCGAGCCUGCUUAACACCCUUGGCCGGGAGGGUGACCUGCCAUGCACCUGAUGCUUGUGAGCCCCAGAUACGGGAAGAGCUGUCAGCUCCUGCCCGCCCCAGCAGCCCUGGCAUUCUGGAGCCAGAAUGCGACCUUAGACCUAAAGAGAGUUUUUGCAGCCCACCAAGUGCUUCCUUUCCCUUUAAUCCCUUGACAGCCUCUCCUCAAGUGUCCUCUGAGGUUACUUUGGAUCCUAGAACUGUAAGAGAUGAGACUUUCAUGGAAGAUUUGAUUUAUCAUAACACAAUAUGAAUCUCUAAGAGACUAAAUCCAGCAGCCACUUUCACCUUAGUAAUAUUUCUCCCCAAAAUAAAACUAUAUGAAGUAUUUCA